RNAcentral lists this ribosomal RNA (643 nucleotides) under uncultured bacterium. Its description in RNAcentral is "bacterial SSU rRNA". It matches the Rfam family "Bacterial small subunit ribosomal RNA", at positions 836 to 1479 of the family's 1533-position model. The record is from RNAcentral.
GGUUUCAGUAACGGAAGCUAACGGCGUGAAGUUGACCGCCUGGGGAGUACSGCCCGCAAGGUUGAAACUCCAAAGGGAAUUGACGGGGACCCGCACAAGCGGUGGAUGAUGUGGUUUAAUUSGAUGCAACGCGAAAAACCUUACYUACCCUUGACAUGCCAGGAACUUGCCAGAGAUGGCUUGGUGCUCGAAAGAGAACCUGGACACAGGUGCUGCAUGGCCGUCGUCAGCUCGUGUCGUGAGAUGUUGGGUUAAGUCCCGCAACGAGCGCAACCCUUAUCAUUAGUUGCUACGCAAGGGCACUCUAAUGAGACUGCCGGUGACAAACCGGAGGAAGGUGGGGAUGACGUCAGGUCAUCAUGGCCCUUAUGGGUAGGGCUACACACGUCAUACAAUGGCCGGUACAGAGGGCUGCCAACCCGCGAGGGGGAGCUAAUCUCAGAAAACCGGUCGUAGUCCGGAUCGCAGUCUGCAACUCGACUGCGUGAAGUCGGAAUCGCUAGUAAUCGCGGAUCAGCUUGCCGCGGUGAAUACGUUCCCGGGUCUUGUACAUACCGCCCGUCACACCAUGGGAGCGGGUUCUGCCAGAAGUAGUUAGCCUAACCGCAAGGAGGGCGAUUACCACGGCAGGUUCGUGACUGGG